GGCUAUGAGGAAGCCCUUUCCUGUUCUUUGACUACCACUUGCCACAUCUCCGCUGAAAAGACCACAAUUCGGCAUAGACAGUAGUCAAGGAAUUACUUCUGAUCUGGAAACCAAGAGCAGAGCUUGGAGGGAUGUACUGUGCAAAACUCAAGACACAGGUACUAAUUUCUAUUUGACUGAAAUGGACUCAAAACAAAAUAUCUCAUCUGAAGAUGGCUCUCUUCCUCCCUAUGAGCAACAUGAAGACCCCUUUGAAUCAAAACUCUCAAAAGAAGCUGACAUAGUUGCUGGAAUUUAUUUAUUAAUAAUUGGGAUCAUGUCCACUUUAGGCAAUGGAUAUGUCCUUUAUAUGUCUACACAACGGAAAAAGAAGCUGAGGCCUGCUGAAAUAAUGACUGUCAAUCUAGCAGUGUGUGACCUGGGUA
Long non-coding RNA from Lacerta agilis (Sand lizard), 425 nucleotides. RefSeq lists it as uncharacterized. The transcript has 3 exons. The record is from RefSeq and is a predicted model, not a curated record. NCBI's taxonomy places the organism in Eukaryota, Metazoa, Chordata, Lepidosauria, Squamata, Lacertidae.